GAUGAACGCUAGCGGCAGGCCUAACACAUGCAAGUCGAGGGAGGAGCCUUCGGGCUUCGACCGGCGUACGGGUGCGUAACGCGUAUACAAUCUGCCUUUCACAUAGGGAUAGCCCGAAGAAAUUUGGAUUAAUACCUAAUGGUAUAUAGAUGUGGCAUCACCUUUAUAUUAAAGCUGAGGCGGUGAAAGAUGAGUAUGCGUUCUAUUAGCUAGUUGGAGAGGUAACGGCUCCCCAAGGCGACGAUAGAUAGGGGUUCUGAGAGGGAUAUCCCCCACACUGGUACUGAGAUACGGACCAGACUCCUACGGGAGGCAGCAGUGAGGAAUAUUGGACAAUGGUCGGAAGACUGAUCCAGCCAUGCCGCGUGCAGGAAGACGGCCUUAUGGGUUGUAAACUGCUUCUGCAGGGGAAGAAUAAGGACUACGCGUAGUUUGAUGACGGUACUCUGCGAAUAAGCAUCGGCUAACUCCGUG
This 474-nucleotide ribosomal RNA is filed under the name uncultured bacterium. RNAcentral's name for it is "partial 16S ribosomal RNA". It matches the Rfam family "Bacterial small subunit ribosomal RNA", at positions 28 to 507 of the family's 1533-position model. The record is from RNAcentral.